GCUUCAGAGACAAAUAUGACAUUAAAAAGUAAUGUAAUGGGAGUGUGGUGUUCCUGGAAGUGGGAGGUGCUAGUGAGACACAGACACACAGAGGUCUCUCAUCCAAUUCAUUUCCUUUCCCAGAGUGGUCCAUAAUUAACUUUUGCCUGGUUGGCACUUCCAACCAGAUAUAAGGAGGCUGAGGCCCCAGCAUCCAUAAGUCAGAUACCUUCUUCCUCUGUGGGUCCUCUAAGAAGUACACAUUCAUCUGUAGGAGGGGGAAAAGAAGUUAUCCGUCACCAUGAGUACGGACGCGGAGAUGCAGAUCUACGGCAAGGCUGCCAUAUACCUUCGUAAAUCUGAGAAGGAGAGGAUGGAGGCACAAGCCGCACCCUUUGAUUCAAAGAACGCCUGCUAUGUGGCAGACAAGGCGAGAGAGAAUAGAGUAGAUGUCACGGGUCAAAAUUUUGAUUGAUGACCCUAUGUGAACUCUAUGUGAACCCUAUGUAGUGAUGACGUGUGCAUGUC
Oncorhynchus kisutch (coho salmon) is the source of this 507-nucleotide long non-coding RNA. RefSeq lists it as uncharacterized. The transcript has 3 exons. NCBI's taxonomy places the organism in Eukaryota, Metazoa, Chordata, Actinopteri, Salmoniformes, Salmonidae. The record is from RefSeq and is a predicted model, not a curated record.